Long non-coding RNA from Vidua chalybeata, 264 nucleotides. RefSeq lists it as uncharacterized. The record is from RefSeq and is a predicted model, not a curated record. NCBI's taxonomy places the organism in Eukaryota, Metazoa, Chordata, Aves, Passeriformes, Viduidae. The transcript has 4 exons.
GUGGAUCCUGUCAGCAGAGCAGGUGACUUUGGGUGAUGCAGACUGCAAACACUGCAUGUAGCUGGGACUGGCCCGAUGUGUGUUCAUCUGGGUUAAACCAUCGCAGAGAGACUUGGGCAGGUUCAGGUUCUCUCCAGGAGAACGUUGUCGGGUCAGAGAUCAGUGUUUGCACGUCAGCACAGUGGGUGCCAGGUCAGACUGAAGACCUGCAGGACUGCAGCUUUCACAACCACCUUUAUAGGAUACCAGGCUGAGGAAUACCUG